GAUGCCAGGGUCAAAAGGUCUAAGCCCACAUGAGCUUGCUCAUAAGUGGGUGAAAGACCUUGGGACCCGCCCCGAUAUGAGCAUAAAAGCGGGAUGAUAAUCCCGCGAUAUGCGAAUGGCGGAGAGGAUUGUGAGAGUGCUUAGCACGGAACAAUCCGUGGGCAUC
RNAcentral lists this small RNA (166 nucleotides) under human gut metagenome. Its description in RNAcentral is "Clostridiales-1 RNA". It matches the Rfam family "Clostridiales-1 RNA". The record is from RNAcentral.